ACACUAUAGUCGAUGUAAUUGCCAUUCAAAGUGACGUUUUUUCAAAGGUUUUACUUUACCAUCGUUUUGACAUUCAACACGAUGUUAAUGAUACAAUUAUUAGUGUUUUAUGGCACUGUGAUCUCUGUGACGUCUGACAGAGCAUGUGAUGUAUGCUACUGUACAGGUAUCGAGGUAUACUGCGGUGGGUUAAAGGAAAUUCCGACAGACAUCCCAAAGAAUACAACACACCUGUACUUGUAUGCCAAUCAAAUAACAGAGAUACCACAGGCAGCAUUCUCCGAUCUGGUGAAAUUACAAACUCUGUGAGUGUAUUUUAAAUGUAUUUUUGUAGACUUAAAUAAAAU
Long non-coding RNA from Ostrea edulis (European flat oyster), 347 nucleotides. RefSeq lists it as uncharacterized. The record is from RefSeq and is a predicted model, not a curated record. The transcript is spliced from 2 exons. Lineage: Eukaryota; Metazoa; Mollusca; Bivalvia; Ostreida; Ostreidae.